Cloeon dipterum is the source of this 1161-nucleotide long non-coding RNA. RefSeq lists it as uncharacterized. The transcript has 3 exons. NCBI's taxonomy places the organism in Eukaryota, Metazoa, Arthropoda, Insecta, Ephemeroptera, Baetidae. The record is from RefSeq and is a predicted model, not a curated record.
AAAGCGAAACUUGGCGUGAAAUGUGGACAAAAAGCAGGCUGCAUAGCCUUGAGUGUGUAUGUUUACGAAGAGCGUGCACACAAUCGCCGGCCGAGUACGAGAGCGAAUAAAAACGGAACGGCCUGCCAGCUGACCUGGAACGAAAACAAACCAAAGUGUAGCGAGCGAGAAUAAAUGGAUAAAUGGAGGCUUCGUGUGCGUUGGCGAGGUGAGAUGAAGGGUCGCUGAUCAAUCAGCGCGGUGCCACCUAUCACAAAGGCGCGAAAUGGAAAAUCACCUGGCGAUUCAGCAAGUCAGAAGGCGAGAAUUACGAUUCCGCCUCUUAUCAAAGACACAAACACCAUGCUCGGCCCGCGACUGGAAAAUGGCUCUCAUUCUCUUUCUCGUGCUGCCAGCUUUAUUGAUGAUUCUAAUCGAAUGACAUAUCAUGUAUCAUUAAAUCAGUUCGGCCAGUCAUUACCCACAAAUAAAACGGACCAAUCAGAUAAAGGGUGCACGACCUGCCGAGCCAGAGAUUGAGAGCGAGUAUAAAUAAUAAUACGCGCGCGGGGCACAAAGGUCCCUCAUCUCGGCCGAGUUCAAUUUAUUAUUAUUUUCCUCGGCAGAUAAUGCGGGACGACGCCGACUGGUACUCCACGAUGGAUAAUGUAUGUAAACAUCAUGCCAACUCGGGACUGUUUUUCCUUCGUCCGUCGAGAAAGAGAGGAAGCUGGGGGGCCAGCUUCCGGGUCAACGGCGAAUCUUUGUUUCCACGCGGGGCCCGUUUCCGACUGAAGUAAAUCUGCGUGGGAAAAGGGAAAUGGGCCGACAGAGAUUCCCAAUCGAGAUUACGGACCACUGGCUGAGAAGGGCUUUCCAAGCCAUUUAUUUAUGCAACAGCAGCCAUUUCCUGGUGGCCAUCAAUCAGGCGGCCAGAAGAAAUAAAAGCAGCGAGUUGGUGCAGGAAGUGCGACGGCGCCGUCGAGGCAGGCACAAAUAAAAGCAACAUAUUCGCUGAACCGUGCGCGCGGCUAAGAAGUCCAUUAUUCUCUCCACUUGCCGCUGACGCUAAUCGAGCGGCUAAAUGCCCGAAUUCCGGCACGCGAGCCGCACUGAUCAAGCACUUUUAUUAAUUAAAUGCCUUGCGAUUUCUGAUUUAAAGAUGAUAACCGCAAAAGUAAA